Molecule: long non-coding RNA, 779 nt
Filed under: Medicago truncatula (barrel medic)
Lineage: Eukaryota; Viridiplantae; Streptophyta; Magnoliopsida; Fabales; Fabaceae
Description: lncRNA gene31135
Source: RNAcentral
GGUAAAACUUCUAUUAUCAUUGGCCAAUGUUACACAUUGCAUGGGCUAGCAAACAAUGGUAAAAACCAUCCCUAAAGUCAAAGCCAAUGUUGGUUAUUCCACUAGGUUAAACUGUCCUGCCAAAACUUAUGCAGGCAUCAUCCUUGCUUCCUUGGGCUUCAAAUAAAUUGAGGCUCCGAUGCCACGAAAUAUGCUAAAACAAGAUAACUAGAAGGGAAACAAAAGGCUAGCACCUAAGUUAGGAAGAACACAGUUGAAGAAACCAUGAGAAAGAAGGCAUCGAAUGGAUGCACUAAAGUUCAAGUGUUAAAACUAAAUAUGUGUUUCUGCUAAGUGGGAGGAUGAAGAAAAUAACCUAAAAUGUAGACACCAUUCUAAAAAAAAAACAACAUGGAGUCACCUACACAUAACCAUGUUGGUUAAAGACGGCACGACUGAGGAACCGAAAAUGGAAGGAUCUCCCUGGUAUUUAUAGUCAUCAUGAUCAACCUUCAAUGAAGCUGGAACCACAAAACUAUCAGUAGCAUCAGACUGCAGAAACUUCGGCGACAGUUUCCUAUGUAUGUCAUUGCUCUGUUGCUUCUGCUGAGAAGUGCCACUUCGAUUCCUCUUCCUUGAUGACUUCCACCUUAACUGUAAUGAUAAAACAUCCUUCACAAGAUCUGGAACUUCCUCAUUCUUUCUAAGUUUAUCCCUUUCAGAAGAACCCGAGUAAGCAUCAGCCUGCUUAGAUUGUAUUCCAUCUCCGAUAGAUGCUACAGUUGAUUUGCUGUCCUCCU